UCAGGGCAUGAUGGAAACAUGUGAUUAAGUGUUGCCUGAAACGCGUCGAAUCUGCACUCACUGGUAGUGUGUUCACUUGGGAUGUAUAAGAUGAUGGUUCAAAUCCUGGAUUCAAAUCAGAGGAGGAACUUGAAGCUGGGCGUCCUAAACCCUAGCUUUUGUUAGAAAAUUAAGUGGUUCUUCCCAGUUUGCAUGCAGAGACAAACAGGGGAUCUUUAAGUGGCAUCACUGUCUGCUUCCUUUUCUUCCUUGGUGUUGUGGUUGGCUGCAAUUCCAUAUGGGACCUAAGGAGUGGUAAUGGAACUACACAGAGUAAUACAGAAUUAAUAAAAACACAAUGCCUUUAAGAAACGGGUUUUUUUUUUCUGUUUUCUUAUUUAUUGACAGAUUUUUUUUUAAUUACAACACAAUGAAACGAUGGUAAGUACAUAAGAUGCAAUAGUAUAAAAAAGCCAUUUUACCCCUCCCCUUGGUUAAGACACUUACAGCAGACAAGAACUGCCCUACCCCAAUCCCCCCUCCUCAAAUGAAAACAAAAAUAAAUAUAAAUUAAUAAAUAUAAAACAAAUCACUGCACAGCCCUUAACUCUUUGAUUGCCAUGGCAAGAACCAUAGUGAUGAUUCUAGCAUGUGACUUUUUUGUGGUUAAAUGUUGCCCCAGCAGUCAAAGGGUUCUAGCAUUGUAAACAUAAGUUCUUUGUUGAAAAUGUUCAGUCAUGUUAAUGGUCUACAGCAAUGCGAUUAAUAUCAUGACCCCUUGACCUUUAAUGAUGCAACAUUAUAAGGAGUUAAAGAGAUAAUAGCUUGGUGAGCUGUUACGUAGAUUAAUUAACCCAUUUAACAAUGCACUAUGAGGCCUUGAUUUACUAAUAAAAGACAACUUGUGUAUAAUAAAACACUGUUCAAUGCAUUGAUUAAUAAAAUCAAUGAAAAAAAUCAGUCUAAGCACCACAAAAUUUUGCCUGAUUAUAUCUGACAGUCAUAAUACACUUUAGCACCAUUUAGUCAGCCUUGCAUUUGCACACAAACAAGCUUUGUGUUUGUCAGUAGAAGCUACCUGAAAGAAUAACAUAUGCCAGUUAUAAAAAAGUUACUGUAUAGAAUGCUGUGUGAACCAAAAAAAUACAUAUAUAUAUAAUAUAAUAAGAUGAAAUUUAGUUGCGAAAAGCCAGUAAAUGCUCCAGCUCCUUUUUUUGCUAACGCACAUAAUGAGGCAAAUUCUGGCAUGGAAUGCAUGUGUGUCAAUGCAGCAAAAAAGAAUAUGGUGAGAAAAUGUGCAGCACGCUAUGAAAUCAUUAUGUUUAUAUUCUGAAAUAUUUGCAGGAUUUUGUAAAAUUAUCUGAUCAACUGCUGUGUGGGUCAGAGAGCAGAGCUUGAAAAGAGUCAUGGUUUAUUCAAAUGUGGAUUAUGUUAUAUGUAAAAAUACAUGCAAAUCUGUCCUAACCAUACCAAAAGCCAUGUCCACAUAUGAAAACCUCACUGAGAUUGCUAAUUUUGUCUCAGAGACGGAGUAAAGAAAACAUACCACAACACAGAAAGAAAUAGUAACCAGUACUUAACGUGCCAGGGCCGAAUCAGUUUUUGAAGCAAGAGCAGCUAAUAGGAACUAGAUGGAAAGCUAAAAAGCUGCUAAGAUCAGCCCAACAUGCAACAACCAGAACUGAAGAGGCAAUCAAGUUAUGACAGACAGCAGGGCAGAAAGCUUGCAGCGUAAGCAGGAUGCCAUUCAGGAACAAGCAGUAGAUACAAAAAGAGUAUGCAAAACAAUGCAAACCUAUCAUAUAAAUACAUGCUAAACCCUGACUGACAACCUCCUGUGCAAAGCCAGCCCCUGUGCAUCCAGAAACUUUUCUGUCACACUAUAGACCUACAACAUCCAGACACAUGGCCGUCCCUGAAAGCUGCAAGUUAACAUUGCCAGUGUCCUGAACCCUUAUGUGUGGUAGCAAUUGUCACAGAGAGAUGUGCAUAAGAAUGUUAUCAAGUAUGAAUUACUAGGGAUUAGAAAACAAAAUGCCUAGACAGGAAAGCAUUUUACAUCUAAUAAUGUUGCUCAAUAUGCUUAACCUUGAAACAAAUAUGGCUGAUGUGUAUGAAUGAACCAAUUUGUCACAACAUUUUAGAUUGCCUAUCUUCAACACAGUUGAUGGGCAUCAGGACCUAGCACAGAAGGAAAGACAGUGCAAGGAAGAAAGGUUAAACCCAAUGAAUGGAGCCACAAGGAAUGUGAGCACUGUUGAAAUACAGCCUUCUGGACUGGCCAGCAAACACAAGACCUGACAUGAGUGAACCACAAUUGACUGACAGCAAAACAAUAUGCUGCUGCCUUAGCAUCAUUAACAAAAGGUGUGUGAAACCAAGCAUAGCAAUCCACUCUGCGAUGGCUAAUGUAACAUGAACAAGACAUUUUUUUUUAGAAUGGCUUAGAAAAUGAGAAUUGCCAACAGAUAUUAACAUUCAUGAUCAAAUACUUGGGUGUUUGACUCUGAUUGUGAAUCCACAGAUGUAAUAAAUCUGACCAGGAGAUAAGAAACGUGGCACCAUAACACAUGGAUAUGUUUGGAGUGUUGAAUUGUGUAGCAUCAUUGCAGUGGAAAAUGCGUGGAAGCUUUAAAUUUGUACACAGUGUGUGCUUGAAUAACAAGAGUAACCAUUACACUCCUGGUAGACCAAAAAAAUUGAUUUCUAUCUGACAGGCUUUUUUUUCCCUCUGUAUGGCCAAAUAGUAAAAUUGUAUUUCCUCCACCAAAUCUAUGUAAUUAACAGGUUGGGUCUUACUAUUCUAGCUAAAUCACCCAACCUGUAGAAAAGUACAUUGGAGAAAAACAAUGGAUGAGAGGCUUGCACAUACUUAAGUCAAGUGCUCCUCACCAUGACAAGUUUUUUUUAAAACUUGGAUUAAAAUUGGCUUGAUCAAAUCUAUAUGGAAAGAUCUGUGGUUGGAGUGGAUAAAUGACAAGUUCUCUCUAGUACAUUUUCAGUCAGUUUUAUGCUAAAUGUGUUAAAGAGCCCUUGGGCUUGCUGCCACCUUUUCACUUCAUGGUUAAUAACAUCAAGAGGGAACAAUAUUGGAGGCAUUGUUGCUGGUGCCCAUUGUUGCUUAGUGAUAAAGCCUAAAAAAGAGAUUAUUAGGCCCUUACUCAAUAACUUGAUACUGAUGUUCUAGUAGACUUUCUCUAGCAUACAUUUUAUAUAAAAUUUUCAAGGCAGUGGUUGAAGGCAACUCUGGGCAUAGUUAAAAUGAGGUUUCUUUAUUCCUGUCAAACUGGUUUCAGGCAGGGGGAUAAACUGUUCUUUUUGCUGGUUGGUAUCUUCUCCUAGAGAAGCAUAAUGAUUGGGUGCCCAUGCUAAUACUUUUAUGUCUGUCAUCAUCUUUUGAACUGAAUGAAUGCCUGUUUGAGUCAGCUGUGGACACUGGCAAUAAUGGAAGAAACAGUUCAUGAAUAGAUUAAUUCAGGGUGAAGGUGAAUAACUGCAUUCAUCACAAUUGUGAACCAAGGACUACCACCCUCAAAAAUAAGGGGCUACAUAUUUUGUACAAUGAGUAUGUAGACACUGGUAUAAGUCUAUAGGCUUGUUUCCAUCCAGCCACAAAUAAGACAGUAAUAUUGAGUGAACGUUAGUUGUAGAUGUUUCACCAAGAGUGUUAUAGAAAUAAAGCAAUGUCAACUGGAUAAAUAUUGAAUAGAUGUCUGAUACCACUGUGGAAUUCUUGAAAACUGGAAUCUUAUCCAAAUUGUGUAUCAGUGUUUAACAUGAGAAUGAUGCUAACAUGAUUUUAAUAAUAUUACCUCAAUUACUUCCAAUUCAAGUCACCACAGAUAUUAAUAACCAACAGUGGCCACUGUAGGGCACUGAACUUUGUAGUGUCUAGCUUUAGGGGCAUGGCCAUGGUUUGAUAUCAGUUGCUCAUAUGCUUUCAUUAAGGAGCAGUUAGAUAUGUAGACAGAAACCAGAAUUUACAUCACACAUAUAUGAAAUGUAGUCUCAUCAUGACAGUUAAGGUAGCAUAUGAUCACAACAGCACUACUGGCCAUUGACGUCUUCUGGAAUGAAUCCCAUUGUGAUUGUCAUCCUAAUACACUUAUCCUUUUUAUACACUCAGACACCUGACAUAAACAAAGAGUGGUCAUGUUGGAGUGAUCUAGCCUUGGUGCUCCAGAAAACAUGCAAAAAGCAAGGAUUUUUGUAGGUGAUAUCUUUUAUUGGACUGUAAACAAGGAGUCAAACAUUACUGGCAUUGCUGAGAUAAUGUGAUCAGGAACAGCAGGUCAGCUUUCAUUUUUAUGUUGCAACAGCUAUGAAAAGAACAAAUGGUGGGUGUACUAGUUUGCACUUAAAUUCAAUGUAUGCCAUUUUCUAAUAGCACUUACUUAGAUAUGCCCAGGUAUCAUUCCAUACAAGAGUGUGAGCACUAUUAGUAAUUACUAUAUACUGCUGACCACUACGCUUCAUCUCAAAUUAGGCAUGACAAACUGGUUCGUCAUAGGCAUAGGUAGUGUGGCUCUUUGUCAUGGUGGUGCCAAACUACCUAUUAAGGGUCACUACAGUAUAUACAUGAUUAAUAACUGAUGGGAGUACAGUAUAUGCAACUAUCUAUGUCAUGAAUGUAGAGCUUUAGUAUGUGAAUGCAAUGAGAUUUUAGUAUCAGAAAAAAUGUGACUGUACAAUGUGACUCACUAUCCUUUGUAAACGUUUAAUUUCUAUUAGCAGGGGACUGAUUUGAAAGUAUAGUGUUCCUAAUGGGUGAGAGAUGAGAUGUAUUAUCAGACACUGAUAACUCAUUUUUUUCUGGCGUGUAGCAUACAGAGCUGUUACAUGGAUAUCUGAACACAUCCCCAUAUUGAUACAAAGGGAAAGCAUAAAUGGCAUUUAUUUAUUAGACCACUUGAAAGGAUGUGAAAGGAUGUUGCUGCAGAUUGCACUGGGGGGACAGGCCAUUUAAUAAGUAGUAUUAUUUUAUAUAUUAGUAUCAUUUAAUGAAAUAGAAGCAACUGUUCAUUGUACAUUAUAACUGCAAGAACUGACUGAUGAGAGAUGCUAAAUUCAGGUUUGCACCCCACCCAAACAUUAAGGAAAAGGAAACAAAGACAUGCUGAGUGGCUACAUGCCACUGUUGCUGAUGCCAUGGAACAGCCAUUUUUUAAUAUGAGAUCUUGUAGUUUGACAAGGUCAGGAUUACUACUGACUAAUCAAAACUCCAUGGUUAGUCUGGAUUGCUCAUCCCAAUAAUGAUCUGUGGAUGCUGCCAUUAUGCAUAAGCUUAUGAAGCCAUGUUGCAUAGCUUUCUAGGCAGAAAGAGUAGUACAUAAGAGUUACCAUGUGUGUGUUUUUCCUGUGGCAUCCUUUCUACACUGCAGUGCAUGAAUAGGCAGGUAUAGCUAGUACUCUCUAGUAAUUAUACUUGUUUCAGUAGCUAUUACUGGUGUGUUCAGUUUCAUCAUUCUGUAGCACUUCCUUGAUCACACACUGCAAGACUACAGCAGUGCAUAAGGUUUUCAAUACCAUGCCUGUGCUCAGUGUGUGUUCCAUGCCAGGGGAUGCUGUAUCUAAUAAUUUUGCAUUCACUUUGCAUUCACAAACAUUAACAAAGUGACAACAAUUGGUAGCCGAUAUGCUAAAACUUAUGUAUAUUAGGAGAAAGAGGUAUUUCCUAAGCAUGUUUCUAUGAUUAACUUUGGAACAAUGGUCUUAGGUAGUGGUAAGAUAAGGCAGUGAUUACAAUAGUGACAUACUAAUGUUCCUCAGGCAUCUGGAACUCAAAUCGUCAGUGAGCUUUCUUAGCUAUUCAUAUAUGUAUCAUAUAACAUUGCAACAUACAGUUUCUACAUUGUGUCACAGUAGAAGGUGCCCUGGGGUCGGCUAUUACAUGAACCUAUUGAUGGUAACGUACUGAUCAUGACUGUUAAUACUGGUUAUGGGGUGCAACACCUCAACUGAUACCAAUGCCUCUCCAUAUCAGCUCAACCUUUGUGCCAACUAUUAGGCAGGACACAAGAAUGAAAAAGACAAAUGAAAAAUGAUCAUGUGUUAUCAUGAUGUUUAGUAAUAGGAGCAUAAUAAGAAAAGCUCUGUUGAUCUACACUGAGUAUGCUAUGGUUGCUACUUUUAUAUAGGUUGUGUGUGUGUAUGCAUUCACUCCAGGGGAUCAGCCUCAUCUUAAACGGCCACUAUUAUGCCACUACAAGCAGCAUACUGUGAACUAAUAAAGUUCAGUGUUACAGUGUGUGUCAAUAAUGAUUUUGCUGUAUCACUAAUUGUGACUAUCAGUUCCUUGGUAUAUGUCUGGGAACAAUAUGAUUUACACCCUAAUUUGACCUCCAGUUAGACAUUUGGCCAUGCUGCCCUUUCUAAGGAUGCCUUUUUAGGUAGCUGAUGGUGCUGCAGUCAUUUGUUUGUGGGACUCUAAGUAGCAUACCCAAAAGGUCACAUAUAAAUGUAGAAAACAGCCGGUCCUGUUGUUGGUUCCUUUUAUUGUCUUCUUGGGUGGGUGAAUGAAGUUGUUCUGCCUCAACACAGCAUCAUCCAUUUCUGGACCCAAUGCCAAACUAGCAGAUAGGCCAAGCCUGAAUUUACAUGGGAUGUGGGUCUGCAGCAGAGAGACCCCUGAGAUUGUGCUUUAGUCUGGUCCUACUGUGAUGGUUUCAAUUUAUUUUAUCAUGCAUGUGACAGUUGAAUGCAUAAUGUACGGAGCAUGCACUGCCGAGUCUGUUAUGCGUCUUUUCAAGCCUUGCCCCACCAAGAAUGCAAAUGUGAAAAAAGCUAAAUAAAAAUGUUAUGCUUUCAUUGCUUCUAGGCAGAUCUACUUUUCUGCUCUAUGCACUUUUUCCAACCAACAAGCCAGAAUUUGAUUCGAUAUAAUUAGGUACCAAAGGCUACAUUUAACUAACUGUGACAUAAGCUAACAAAAAGCUGAGGAAAUUGAAGUUAAAUCUUAUAGUUUAUUCUUAUUGGGAUAGGGAUUCUGGGAGGAGGGUAAAACAUAAACCAAGUUAUGAGAUAAAGGGAGUCUGGCUCUUAACUUUGAAGUUUCCUAGCUCUUGUCAUUUGUUUCAUAACCUAAACCUUUUCUUCUUUUGUUUUUUAAGAUUUAUAACAUGAUCCCCCAACCCUUCUCUGAAAAAGAUAAAUAAAGAUAAAAUGUCCAUAGGAAGUUAUAAAAUGUGUAUUGUAUUUAUUCAGGAAAUUUGAAAGGGCUCCUUUGGAUCCCUUUUGAAUCUCCAUUCCAGCCCAUCAAGUAAACAUUGGCGUACAUAUUUUCUUAAAUUUCUUUUCUGGUAAAAGUUAAUUUCUGCAUAUAGUAAAUAACUUUUUUCAUAAAUUCAUAGGUUAGAAGGCCAGAAAGGACCAUUAUGAUCAUCUGACCUCCUGCAUAACACAGACAUUGGACUCCAGAUUUAAGCAACCUACUACAUUCAGUUUAAUAGCCUGUAGCAGAUUGACAAAACCCAUUUUUCAUAUUGUAGUUAUUCACAAUAUGGAUUGUAACAAUAUUAAUAUGGAGAUGUCUAUUAAAAACAUUACGAAAAAUGUUACUGAACAUGACCAGUAACCAGAAUUUCAGAACUCAAAGCAGGUAUUUUAUUUUUCCCCCACUGAUGCUAAUAAUUCUAGACUCUAUUGGGUCCUGACUGUUUAUCAGAUUUCAUUUUAUUAAAUUAUAAACUAUUUUUGACUUAUACAAGUUCAAAACUAAACCCAGUAAAAAAAUUUAUUUGUGCUGAACACCUAUAAUUUAAAACAACCACACACAUAUUUCGGAUACUAGGCCAAACACAAAUUACUCCUAGAUUUUUAAGCCUGAAGCAAAUUUUAAUGGCUGUGUUAUAACCUAUUGAAAAUAGAAGUAUACCAUAGAAAUGCUGACACAACCUUAGCCUGCAUGGCAUAAACAUGCCAGUACAGUGCUCUUAUUAUCCCUCUCUCUGUAUAUAAUAUAUAUAUAUGCACUUUUAAGUAAAAGAAAAUAGAUUGAAGAAUCAAGUUAUUAUGCAUCCAUGUAUCUAUGUUGUACCAAGCACUAGAUUAUCACACUUACCUUUCUGCAUAAUUACUGUAAGUUAAAUUCUCCAAAUACAAACAUUUUUGUUACCCUAUCAAUGUACAAGUCAACAUGCUCAGUACUUCAUUAUCCUCAGGGAAAUAGUUGCACAAAAAGUCAAAGCUGCCAUGAGAGAGACUUUGAAAAUGAAGUGAAAUUUCCAGGUGAGUCAGAAAACAGAUAAAAUGCUGUUCUGUUUUAAA
This is a long non-coding RNA of Gavialis gangeticus (Gharial), 8244 nucleotides long. RefSeq lists it as uncharacterized. The record is from RefSeq and is a predicted model, not a curated record. The transcript is spliced from 3 exons. NCBI's taxonomy places the organism in Eukaryota, Metazoa, Chordata, Crocodylia, Gavialidae.